RNAcentral lists this ribosomal RNA (1416 nucleotides) under Salmonella enterica. RNAcentral's name for it is "partial 23S ribosomal RNA". It matches the Rfam family "Bacterial large subunit ribosomal RNA", at positions 1239 to 2637 of the family's 2925-position model. The record is from RNAcentral. Lineage: Bacteria; Pseudomonadati; Pseudomonadota; Gammaproteobacteria; Enterobacterales; Enterobacteriaceae.
UUCUGUAAGCCGUUGAAGGUGUCCUGUGAGGGGUGCUGGAGGUAUCAGAAGUGCGAAUGCUGACAUAAGUAACGAUAAAGCGGGUGAAAAGCCCGCUCGCCGGAAGACCAAGGGUUCCUGUCCAACGUUAAUCGGGGCAGGGUGAGUCGACCCCUAAGGCGAGGCCGAAAGGCGUAGUCGAUGGGAAACGGGUUAAUAUUCCCGUACUUGGUGUUACUGCGAAGGGGGGACGGAGAAGGCUAUGUUGGCCGGGCGACGGUUGUCCCGGUUUAAGCGUGUAGGUGUGUGUUCCAGGUAAAUCCGGUUCACUUUAACACUGAGGCGUGAUGACGAGGCACCACGGUGCUGAAGCAACAAAUGCCCUGCUUCCAGGAAAAGCCUCUAAGCAUCAGGUAACAUCAAAUCGUACCCCAAACCGACACAGGUGGUCAGGUAGAGAAUACCAAGGCGCUUGAGAGAACUCGGGUGAAGGAACUAGGCAAAAUGGUGCCGUAACUUCGGGAGAAGGCACGCUGACACGUAGGUGAAGUGAUUUACUCAUGGAGCUGAAGUCAGUCGAAGAUACCAGCUGGCUGCAACUGUUUAUUAAAAACACAGCACUGUGCAAACACGAAAGUGGACGUAUACGGUGUGACGCCUGCCCGGUGCCGGAAGGUUAAUUGAUGGGGUCAGCGCAAGCGAAGCUCCUGAUCGAAGCCCCGGUAAACGGCGGCCGUAACUAUAACGGUCCUAAGGUAGCGAAAUUCCUUGUCGGGUAAGUUCCGACCUGCACGAAUGGCGUAAUGAUGGCCAGGCUGUCUCCACCCGAGACUCAGUGAAAUUGAACUCGCUGUGAAGAUGCAGUGUACCCGCGGCAAGACGGAAAGACCCCGUGAACCUUUACUAUAGCUUGACACUGAACAUUGAGCCUUGAUGUGUAGGAUAGGUGGGAGGCUUUGAAGCGUGGACGCCAGUCUGCGUGGAGCCGACCUUGAAAUACCACCCUUUAAUGUUUGAUGUUCUAACGUGGACCCGUAAUCCGGGUUGCGGACAGUGUCUGGUGGGUAGUUUGACUGGGGCGGUCUCCUCCUAAAGAGUAACGGAGGAGCACGAAGGUUGGCUAAUCCUGGUCGGACAUCAGGAGGUUAGUGCAAUGGCAUAAGCCAGCUUGACUGCGAGCGUGACGGCGCGAGCAGGUGCGAAAGCAGGUCAUAGUGAUCCGGUGGUUCUGAAUGGAAGGGCCAUCGCUCAACGGAUAAAAGGUACUCCGGGGAUAACAGGCUGAUACCGCCCAAGAGUUCAUAUCGACGGCGGUGUUUGGCACCUCGAUGUCGGCUCAUCACAUCCUGGGGCUGAAGUAGGUCCCAAGGGUAUGGCUGUUCGCCAUUUAAAGUGGUACGCGAGCUGGGUUUAGAACGUCGUGAGACAGUUCGGUCC